UACGAAGGGGGCUAGCGUUGCUCGGAAUCACUGGGCGUAAAGGGCGCGUAGGCGGCCAUUCAAGUCAGAGGUGAAAGCCCAGGGCUUAACCCUGGAAUUGCCUUUGAUACUGUUUGGCUUGAGACCGGAAGAGGUAAGUGGAACUGCGAGUGUAGAGGUGAAAUUCGUAGAUAUCAGGAAGAACACCCGUGGCUAAGGCGGCUCUCUAGUACGGUACUGACGCUGAGACGCGAAAGCGUGGGGAGCGAACAGG
RNAcentral lists this ribosomal RNA (253 nucleotides) under uncultured bacterium. RNAcentral describes it as "partial 16S ribosomal RNA". It matches the Rfam family "Bacterial small subunit ribosomal RNA", at positions 524 to 776 of the family's 1533-position model. The record is from RNAcentral.